GCCAGUGGGGCUCUAUUUUAUUUUUAUGCCCAGAAAUUGCUAUUCACCACAUAGGCAGUGCCCCUGGAAAUUUGACCCUGCUGUAGCUGGCUUGAGUUCCAAGUCCGGAUGUACACGCAAAAUGCCCCAAUCUUGGAGACAGGUUAUUUUCAGGGUUCAGCAGCCCUGGGCAAGUCGUUUAUGACAAUGUGUGUAAUUUCUGUUGUGCACUGCACUCUGUGUGCCUAUUGCGGGAAUUCACGGCGGUCACUGCCCAUGAUGCAGCUGCGAACGGGCAGGUGAGAAAUGGUGAAUUUUGGCCAUUUGUGCGCACCUGUUCAUUUCAAUGUACCUGUGGGUUAAUGGGCCCAGCUACAAUGUGGAUCACGAAAUUGCUUAGAUUUUUGGUUUGCUAGUAGGCGGCUUACACUAGUAGGCAGUGCCCCAGGAAAUUGGACCCUGCUGUAACUGGCUUAAGUUCCAAGUCCGGAUGUACGGGGAAAAGCCCCAAACUUGGAAAUCGAUUAUUCUCAGAUUUCAGCAGCCCCGGGCAGGUCAUUUCUGACAAUGUGUGUCAUUUCUGUUGUGCACUACACUUUGUGUGUCUAUUGCAGGAAUUCAUGGUGGUCAUUGUCCUUGUUGCAGCUGUGCAUAGUCGGAAAUGAAUUCACUGCGGUCACUGUCCAUGUUGCAGCUGUGAAUAGUCGGAAAGGAAUUCACGGUGGUCAUUGUCAGUGUUGCAGCUGUGAAUAGCCUGAAACAUGAGAAAUGGUGAACUUUUGGACCAUUUGUGCGCACCAGUUGGCCAAGCUGCAAUGUGGGUGCUGGAAUUGCUUUGACAUUAUUUUGGUUUGCUAGUACGCCGCUUGUACUCGUUGGCAGUGCCCUAGGAGAUUUGACCCAGCUGUUACUGGCUUGAGUUCCAAGUCCGGAAACACGGGCAAAAAGCCCCAAACUUGAAGAUGGUUAUUUUCAGCUUUCAGCAGCCCAGGCAAGUCGUUUAUGGCAAUGUGUGUCAUUCCUGUUGUUCACUUCUCUUUAGUUGGAAGGUUGAGAAAUUGUGAAUGUACUGUCGUGGACGUGCAAAUCCGGUCGCACGUCUAGCGGCCCCAGGGCGCUAGCCAUGCAGCCGAGGAUAAGCGGAAUGCUGAAUGUAUAUGCACUGCAGCGCGCUGGUCGCAUCGGAUCAACAUGACUGCACGCAGCGUUCUGUACGCGCUGAGGGCGGCGGUCCCGGUCAAUCGACUGGAUUUCUAUGUCCGCUACAGUACCUGUGUGUAAAUGGGCCCAGUUGCAAUGUGGGUGCUGGAAUUGCUUUGAUUUUUUGAUUUGCUUGUAGGGCCGGAAAGAAAGAAUUUGGUACAGCACUCACACUUUUCCCUUAACAUACCAACACUCAAAUACCCACCCACACACAUGUACCUCACCUGCAUUUCCCCAAUCUACACUUACUUCAACACUACUCGCUGCUCACGUAAUAGCGCAUCCAAUAGUGCUAGCUUUAGAUUAUCAGUGUUGGUUGUAUCAGUUUUACUUCGAAGUAGAUCUAAACUUUAUGGUACCAUAAUCAAUAUUUUUCCUUCGUCGUCCAACUCUCGGUGUGAUGAAGAUUUCGUUCAAAUCAUAUUGUCCUGUUGUUCUCAAGUAUGAGUGCGAACACUUUACUUUCAUCGAUAUGAAGAUUCUUGCCUGCCGACUUUUUGAUCAUUUUUUAGCUUAUCCUACCUCUGAACUUCCCACCUGAAAUGUUUGGUCAACCGCCCUCAGCUACCAUUAUUUUAUUUUAUUCCAAGCAAUACAUGGCUGGGGUAGCCAAUGACCACUUUGCGUGGCGAUUGCAGGGUUUUUAUAGCCAACCACGGCUAUCAUGCACAGAGUGCAAAAUAAUUGUGUACGGGUUCAUCACAUGAUGUGAAGUUCUGCCGUCGCGGACCCCAUACUCCAUAGACUAGAGUUGCACACUCUUGGGGGUUAUGUACU
Sycon ciliatum is the source of this 1959-nucleotide long non-coding RNA. RefSeq lists it as uncharacterized. The transcript has 3 exons. Lineage: Eukaryota; Metazoa; Porifera; Calcarea; Leucosolenida; Sycettidae. The record is from RefSeq and is a predicted model, not a curated record.